RNAcentral lists this ribosomal RNA (468 nucleotides) under uncultured bacterium. Its description in RNAcentral is "partial 16S ribosomal RNA". It matches the Rfam family "Bacterial small subunit ribosomal RNA", at positions 28 to 507 of the family's 1533-position model. The record is from RNAcentral.
GACGAACGCUGGCGGCGUGCUUAACACAUGCAAGUCGAACGGAAAGGCCCUGCUUUUGUGGGGUGCUCGAGUGGCGAACGGGUGAGUAACACGUGAGUAACCUGCCCUCGACUUUGGGAUAACUUCAGGAAACUGGGGCUAAUACCGGAUAGGAGCUCCUGCUGCAUGGUGGGGGUUGGAAAGUUUCGGCGGUUGGGGAUGGACUCGCGGCUUAUCAGCUUGUUGGUGGGGUAGUGGCUUACCAAGGCUUUGACGGGUAGCCGGCCUGAGAGGGUGACCGGCCACAUUGGGACUGAGAUAUGGCCCAGACUCCUACGGGAGGCAGCAGUGGGGAAUAUUGCACAAUGGGCGGAAGCCUGAUGCAGCAACGCCGCGUGCGGGAUGACGGCCUUCGGGUUGUAAACCGCUUUCGCCUGUGACGAAGCGUGAGUGACGGUAAUGGGUAAAGAAGCACCGGCUAACUACGUG